GGAGAAAUGCUGCUGCGCUAUUUUAUUGUUUUCUUUGGAAAAUGAACCGUUUAUGUUGUACACGCUAAUACAAUAUGGUUACCGUUAAUGCUGCUACGUUAUCCAGCUGUUUUGUGCUGUUUUGACUGUUAAUAUAAGUUUUGUAGAAGUUUUCAACUCACUUUCUGGGCGCCAUUUGUAACGCAGCAGACCGCCCGUGUCUUGUAAACAAAGUACCACUUCAGACACCGUAGUAUCCAUUUCUUAGUGUAAACGCUGUUAUUUUGCCUGUUUAGGGAACAGAGGUGCAGAAAAGGACCAGAAGGCAAUUAAUGUGUAUUACUGUCUUCUGCAGGAGCAAAUAAAUGCUGGAAAACAA
Dicentrarchus labrax (European seabass) is the source of this 358-nucleotide long non-coding RNA. RefSeq lists it as uncharacterized. The transcript has 2 exons. NCBI's taxonomy places the organism in Eukaryota, Metazoa, Chordata, Actinopteri, Moronidae. The record is from RefSeq and is a predicted model, not a curated record.